Long non-coding RNA from Pseudophryne corroboree (corroboree frog), 590 nucleotides. RefSeq lists it as uncharacterized. The transcript is spliced from 3 exons. Lineage: Eukaryota; Metazoa; Chordata; Amphibia; Anura; Myobatrachidae. The record is from RefSeq and is a predicted model, not a curated record.
GGAGAGACAGUUGGUGCGUGUGCAGCGGAAAGGACGGAGGAGGUGUAAGCAGGCAGCGAUGGUGAUGACAAGCGGAGGAAAGGAUUGGUGAGCUCCGAAACUGUGAAAUCACCCAGAGCAGACUAUACAGGAGAAGCGGGGAACUUACCAUUCACUGCCAAGCAGAGACGCCAUCUAUUGUGCCGAGCUCCUGGAGAGAGCAGAGAGAGGAGCAGAUUGUAGCUGAGAGCCGGUGGCCGCCCUAUUGUGAGUCACAGUGAUGCGGAAGGAGGAGAUUAAAUUCUUCACAGUAAAGACAGAGAAGUAUCCAGUAAAAGACAAGUGAUACUGAGACAUCAGAGUGGAGCCAGGGAAGUAUCGCUGCGCCCAGAGACCAGAGAUUGUGAUAAAAGGUGGCCGAAUAGUACCCACGCUUCGGGCAUCUUCCCGUUUCUACUUGGACAAAAUGACUUCUCUGGCUCUGGGACACAUAUGCCUUAUACAGUAUCUUUGCGUGUACUUCCUGGAGGGUUGAAGAUUGAACAACACGAAGUGUCUGUGUAUAAUAUUUGAAUAUUGUAUGGCUAUCCUGUAAUAAAGGUAUAUCUCUA